ACUCCUACGGGAGGCAGCAGUGGGGAAUCUUGCACAAUGGAGGAAACUCUGAUGCAGCGAUGCCGCGUGAGUGAAGAAGGCCUUUGGGUUGUAAAGCUCUUUUGUAGGGGAAGAUAAUGACUGUACCCUAAGAAUAAGGUCCGGCUGACUUCGUGCCAGCAGCCGCGGUAAUAC
This 174-nucleotide ribosomal RNA is filed under the name uncultured bacterium. RNAcentral describes it as "partial 16S ribosomal RNA". It matches the Rfam family "Bacterial small subunit ribosomal RNA", at positions 335 to 526 of the family's 1533-position model. The record is from RNAcentral.